GGUCGCGUGGUGUAGUUGGUUAUCACGUCAGUCUAACAACUGCUCGCCCUGCGAGUUGAUUGACCACUGAAGGUCCCCAGUUCAAACCUGGGCGCGAUCA
Non-coding RNA from Venturia effusa, 100 nucleotides. The record is from the annotation of a GenBank genome assembly. NCBI's taxonomy places the organism in Eukaryota, Fungi, Ascomycota, Dothideomycetes, Venturiales, Venturiaceae.